AUGGCGCAACCUAAUGUCAUGCUUCUGUGCUGGAAUGUGCGUGGCCUCAAUGCCCCUGCCCGUCGUGACGCUGUGCGCGACCUUCUCCGUGACUACCAUGCCACCAUUAUGGGCCUCCAAGAGACUAAGCUCGAUCACGUCGAUGAUUCCCUCAUCGCAACCAUGCUCGGCCCCUCCUUCACUGCUAACUACCAUGUCCUCCCGGCCGUCGGGUCAAGGGGGGGCAUGAUCAUGGCCGUCUCCGACGCUUACUUCCGCCUUUCGGACUUCCAGGCAAUGCAUGGAUCCAUCUCGGCCACCGUCACCAUGCUGGCUGAUGGCCUUGACUGGACCCUGUCAUGCGUUUACGGCCCUCAGGGGGAGCAAGACAAGCUGCUUUUCAUCAACGAGCUCAGAGGGCUGAAGCAUGUGGUGAAGCCCUGGUGGCUCAUUCUUGGCGACUUCAACCUGAUCACCAAAGCGGCUGACAAGAACAACCAAAACUUAAAUAGCCGCCUCAUUGGCAGUUUCCGCUCCGCGCUAAAUCACCUC
RNAcentral lists this ribosomal RNA (531 nucleotides) under Triticum aestivum (bread wheat). RNAcentral describes it as "partial small subunit ribosomal RNA". Lineage: Eukaryota; Viridiplantae; Streptophyta; Magnoliopsida; Poales; Poaceae. The record is from RNAcentral.